AACGAAAUAUAGGAUAAGGAUUAGUUUACGUUUAUAAAUUCGAGAUAAGGGAUUUAAUUUUAUUCUUACACUAAUAAAAGCGGUUUUGUGGUAGAGAAAAAAAUCUAAAAAAAAGGUUGUGUAGUAUAGAAAAAGAACAUUAAUUUUG
RNAcentral lists this small RNA (148 nucleotides) under Arabidopsis thaliana (thale cress). Its description in RNAcentral is "ATSL144390". The record is from RNAcentral. Lineage: Eukaryota; Viridiplantae; Streptophyta; Magnoliopsida; Brassicales; Brassicaceae.